RNAcentral lists this ribosomal RNA (1422 nucleotides) under uncultured bacterium. RNAcentral's name for it is "16S ribosomal RNA". It matches the Rfam family "Bacterial small subunit ribosomal RNA". The record is from RNAcentral.
UUUGAGUUUGAUCCUGGCUCAGGAUGAACGCUGGCGGCGCGCCUAACCCAUGCAAGUCGAACGAGGUAGCAAUACCGAGUGGCGGACGGGUGAGUAACAUAUAGGAACCUACCCCAGAGUCUGGAAUACCCGGCCGAAAGGUCGGCUAAUACCAGAUGGUCUCUACGGAGUAAAGAUUUAUCGCUCUGGGAAGAGCCUGUAUCCUAUCAGCUUGUUGGUAAGGUAAUGGCUUACCAAGGCUAUGACGGGUAGCUGGUCUGAGAGGAUGACCAGCCACAAUGGCACUGAGACAAGGGCCAUACACCUACGGGUGGCAGCAGGUGGGAAUAUUGCGCAAUGGACGAAAGUCUGACGCAGCGACGUCGCGUGAAGGAUUGAAGGUUUUCGGAUCGUAAACUUCUUUUCUAUGGGAAGAUUAUGACGGUACCAUAGGAAUAAGGACCGGCUAACUACGUGCCAGCAGCCGCGGUAAUACGUAGGGUCCAAGCGUUAUCCGGAUUUAUUGGGCGUAAAGAGCAUGUAGGCGGUUUUGUAAGUUAUCUGUUAAAGCUCUUGGCUUAACCAAGAAAUCGCAGAUAAUACUGCAAAACUGGAGAAUAGCAGGGGCAAGUGGAAUUCCCGGUGUAGGGAUUAAAUCCGUUGAUAUCGGGAGGAACACCAAUGGCGAAGGCAACUUGCUAGGCUAUUUCUGACGCUGAGAUGCGAAAGCGUGGGUAGCGAACGGGAUUAGAUACCCCGGUAGUCCACGCCCUAAACGAUGCAGACUAGGCAUCGGGAGUAUCGACCCUCCCUGUGCCGUAGCUAACGCGUUAAGUCUGCCGCCUGGGGAGUACGACCGCAAGGUUAAAACUCAAAGGAAUUGGCGGGGACUCGCACAAGCGGUGGAGCGUGUGGUUUAAUUCGACAGUAAGCGAAGAACCUUACCAGGGUUUGACAUCCCGCGAAAGCCUAGGAAACUAGGCCGUGCCGUAAGGAACGCGGUGACAGGUGCUGCACGGCUGUCGACAGCUCGUGCUGUGAAGUGUACGGUUAAGUCCGCAAACGAGCGAAACCCCUAUCUUGUGUUGAAUUUUUCACAAGAGACUGCCUCAUUUAAUGGGGAGGAAGGCGGGGACGACGUCUAGUCAGCGUGGCUCUUACACCCUGGGCGACACACGCGCUACAAUGCCAUGGACAAAGGGUUGCUAAACCGUGAGGUGGAGCCAAUCCCAUCAAAACAUGGCCCAGUUCGGAUUGAAGGCUGAAACUCGCCUUCAUGAAGUUGGAAUCGCUAGUAACCGUGGGUCAGCCAUACCACGGUGAAUACGUUCUCGAGUCUUGCACACACUGACCGUCAAGUCAGGAAAGCCGGGAAUACCCGAAUUCGCCUUUUGGUGAACACGGUAGGCUCGGUGAUCAGGGCUAAGUCGUAACAAGGUAACC